UUUUUUUCCUUUCUUUUUCUCUUUUCUUUCUUUUCUUUUUCUUUCUUUUUCUUUCUUUUUCUUUUCUUUCUUUUCUUUUUUUCUUUCUUCUUCUUCCCCGAUUCCUUCUUCUGCCUCGCGCACUCCGCCUCGCUCUCUCUUCCUCGCGCGACCUCCACCUACGCGAGUCACAAGCUCCUCCCCGACUGCCAUCGCCACCACCCCAGCUAGUCCACCUCCCUCCAAGCUCCAUCUUCCUCAGCUUCACCAGCACAGCCGCCACCACCUCGCGUCCACCACAAGCUCACAGCCAAAACUUCCAUAGCCGCUACCUCGUGCAGCUUUCUCUUCCUACCACCCAACUCCACCUGCACUCUCUCUUCUCUUUCAGCUCACAACCUUGAGCAACCCAGCUCACGGACAGCCAUGAACAGCGCUGCUCUCCACAGCAUCUCAGCUCUCUCUCUCUCUUAGCUCAGCUCAGUUCAGCUCACGCUGCUCGUUGCUCGCGCGUGUCACACCACCAGCUCGCAUACACACGACGCACAGCUUCCCUGCUAAGCCGCUGCCUGCUGCUUCUUCCAUCACCACCACCCAGAGCUGGGCGCAGCUCCUCCUCCCUGUCCAUAGCUGCAGCCGACUGCUGCCUGAAACCCACGGCAGUCCAGCUCUCUACCCACAACCAGCUCCACAGCCACGUGGAGAUCUUCCUUCAUUCUCCACCAACAACACCAAGCAGCCGCGCCACUACCUCCUGCCCAGCUCACUAUCGCAGGCUUCACCACUGAAGCUCCACCAGCCGCAAACCGCCAUAGUCCUCUUCUCAGCUCCUCCCCCUGCUGCGAUCUGCAACUCCAGCUGCCGCCAUCUCCCUCGCGCAAGCUCCACCAGCCACCAAGCAGCCACCGCCGCAGAACCUCUGCUCUUGCAUUUUUUCAUACCCCUUUGACUAUAAGAUAACAAGAAAUAUGGUGCGAUGGAGACUUUAGUUUAGUCCGUGCAAAGUGGAAACCUCAAGGUAUCGGCUCUAAUCAGAACAUCAAGGUAUCUCUGUAGCCUCAAUUAAGUAGAUUGUUUGGGUCAAAUGAAUGUUGUGAGCUGUGUUUUUAUUACUACUUGGAACAGUCAAGUGUUUGUGUGAGCUGCCUCUGUGAUAUUAAUUUCAAUUGUAAAUUGCUGUAAUUUGUGUCCAAUUGUGGGUAAUUUGCUGAGAUUGUUUGUUAAAUUAGGAGGUGCUUGUAAUGCUUAAAUUUGCUUAUUGAAGUAGUUGCCUUGUGUGAGAGUCUUUUGUCUUUUUCAUUUCAAUUAUUUCGUUGAUUGGGGUGAUUUUGAGGUGCAUUGUUUUUGCAUUUGGCUAAGUUUGGAACCACAAGUGCUUAUUGAUUGCAUUUACUGUAAGUGUUGGGGUAUUUGUAUAACUUGCGGGUGAUUGAAUUGUGCAUUUUGUUGUUUAAAUUAACUAAGCUAGAGGCCCCAAUAUUUAUUACAAUUGUUAUUACAAUUUGUUGGAAAUGGUUGUCUAUUGUUGAUUGGAGUGAUAUUUGGAGAAAAUGGUGAGACACAGAUCAACCCCAGGGGCUGAUGACUGGCAACAACUUCAGAGAAUUUGGCAGCAUUUAUGCACCAUGUGGGUGUUGAACCUCAAUUACCGCCUAAUCGACCGAUGUCUUGACGAUUUCAGGGGAGUUUCGUUGCCCUUCUUCUUAUUCUUACUAAUUAAUUAUUACAUUGAGGGCAAUGUGUACUUUAAGUGUGGGAGAGAUUUGGAUUUGAUUGGAGUUUCUUUAAAUUGUUGCUUUUCUUAUUGUUGUCUUGAUGAAUAAAUGUGGCAUCUCACUCGUCUAUUGCUGGUUAUGAUUUAUUCUAUGAAUUUAGUUUAAGUGACAAGUAAAAGCAUGUUAUCUUGGUGAAUAUCAUGAGUUUAAUGACUUGGUGCAAAUUGUGGUUAAAUUGUUUAGGCAAUAUAAAUAUUUUACUAGCAAUUGUUGUGUGGAUUAGGCAAUUGUUGAUCUUAGUUCUCCAUAUUAGGAGAUGACGUGGGCCAUGAUCUUUAAUUAUCUGGUUUUCUGGUGCUUUAAUUGUGAUUAAUAAAUGACCCUACUCCGCUAGUGUCGUCACCCAGUAACCGGGAGUCUUCACCACAAGUGUCGACUUUCGCGUCAAAAAGUGACUAUAUAUAUGAGUAGUUAGUCCUGAAGCUGUGAAGAGUUGAGUAACUGGACUCUUUCAUCUAAAAAUGUCAGAGUUCACGUCAAAAGACUUGAAUAGCUUGGGAUUGAGCAUUUAUUGAAAAAAAAAAAUUAUUAUAAAAAUAAUAAUAAUAAUAAUAAAAAAAAGAGAAAAGAAAAUAAUAAGUAAGCUUAUGAUCAUGUUGGCCUGCCGAUCCUUGUUCUUCAAUGUUGAGAUUUUGAUUUUCAGUUGACCCAAUUGCUAACUUUUGCUAGUUUAAUAUUUUGAUUUCUUAGACGACUUAGUCAUGAAUUGGACGAGUCUAUGAUUUCAGGAGCUAACCGGGAGAAAUAUGUCUUGACACUUAGCCACUAAAACUUGAUUUUGGGAUAAGCGUAGCUUGGCAGUAAAUGAAAUGAGAGUUAGCCAUUGUUGAGUUUAGUGUUCCCAUGCUUGAGGACAAGCAUGAUUUAAGUGUGGGGGGAAUUGAUAGGGUGUUAAUUGUUAGUAAUUUUAUUGUUAAUUCUCCUCUUUAUCCUUGCCAAAUAUUGCUUUAAUUGUCAAUAUAUAUUUAUAUUUGGUAUUUGGAUAUACUUUCAGAAAGUGGAGCAGAAACCUUCUUGAGAAGAUUAUUGUGAAACUCUAUGCAAUUGGCCCAUAUGCAUGGUGUAAACCAACGUCCAUUUCUUUCUAUGAUGAAAAGGAAUUGAAUUGCAUUUGGCUGGCCAACAUCUCAAUUAGGUGGGGGCCGCGAAGACUUGACCAUUGUGUAAAGACACAUUUUUGGUUUGCUCUCUUAUUUGUGAACGUGUGCACUUGGUCAAAGGAAACCGACAAACCAUAGUUGGCUUUGCUUUUGUUUUCGGUGGAGUUGAUUAGGUAGGGAAGGAAUGUUUUCUUUUGUGAGCGUGGAGUGAAGUUUCGAAUUGGCUUGUUUUUAUUCGUGGAGAGCCGCACAUUUGCAGAGUCAGUUUUUCUUCUUCUCUUCCGUCUGGAAAGAGAAGUUUUUAGUUUUGGAGUUUUCUCUCAAAAUAAGCUCCGUAGGAGGAUAGACUAGUUUUUUAGUUUUCUCUCCAAGGGAUGUUCCAGAGGAGAGAAAACUAAAAAACUAGUCUAUCCUCCUACGGAGCUUAUUUUGAGAGAAAACUCCAAAACUAAAAACUUCUCUUCCCAGACGGAAGAGAAGAAGAAAAACUGACUCUGCAAAUGUGCGGCUCUCCACGAAUAAAAACAAGCCAAUUCGAAACUUCACUCCACGCUCACAACAGAAAACAUUCCUUCCCUACCUAAUCAACUCCACCGAAAACAAAAGCAAAGCCAACUAUGGUUUGUCGGUUUCCUUUGACCAAGUGCACACGUUCACAAAUAAGAGAGCAAACCAAAAAUGUGUCUUUACACAAUGGUCAAGUCUUCGCGGCCCCCACCUAAUUGAGAUGUUGGCCAGCCAAAUGCAAUUCAAUUCCUUUUCAUCAUAGAAAGAAAUGGACGUUGGUUUACACCAUGCAUAUGGGCCAAUUGCAUAGAGUUUCACAAUAAUCUUCUCAAGAAGGUUUCUGCUCCACUUUCUGAAAGUAUAUCCAAAUACCAAAUAUAAAUAUAUAUUGACAAUUAAAGCAAUAUUUGGCAAGGAUAAAGAGGAGAAUUAACAAUAAAAUUACUAACAAUUAACACCCUAUCACUAAAAAUUAGAAGGAAAUCUUGAGCAGUUUUUAGAUUUUGAUUGUAGCGUAUUUUUUCAUGCAGACAGAAAUACUCUUCUAAUUUUAAACAUAAUUACUACCUAAAGGCAAGAUAAAUUUUGUUGCUUCACAUCUCGCUCCAUUCUCCUCCUAUUCUUCUCUUACCUCCAGAUGUGUAUGUGUUCCUCUUUCCUCUUUGUUUUUCUUCUCCAACAGUUGAUCUCUAUAAUUAAAGUAAUUAAUUACAUUAAAAUUAUCUGAUUAGCACAAAACACUAUUUUGGUCAUCUGUUUUUUCAAAAUAGCUUUCUUAAUAGUAAGCAAAAACAAAUAAAUCAUUCUCAAAAAUCUGAUUUUUGAUAAUCAAUUUUAUUAAAUCAACUUUUACAAAAUCCAGCCUUUCUUCUCUGUGUAGGGCCAAUCUGGAAGAGAAGAGAAUCAAAUAGUUCUUGGUUGUGAAUUUUGAACUGGUUGUUUGUUGGUCAGGAAUUCUUGUUUAGGCAGCUAAUAGCACUCAUACAUUUUUUUGGGGGCAAAUAUGGAGCUUUAUUGAUCAAGAAAUAAGCGAGUAUACAAGAAUCAAACAAUUCCUUCUUACAUAAAUCCUAUCACUAUUAUACUGGAUGCAAUCAUACACUUUGUUUUGAUCUACAGUUUAAAUUCUUCUAUCUUUUAGUAGCAACAUAUUGUUGCGCAGAGUUAAGGUGUGAAAUAAAAUAUGCAAGAAAGAAGCAUUUCCAAUUAGAGGUACCAAUUACAAUCUAAUUAUGUUGACCUUCCCAAACCUGUUCACCAAUAACUCAUCCAAACUCGAUCAUUAAUUUUCAAUGGGUCUAAAUGGGUACCCAAUUAAACCCAUUUAAUUAGUGGGUUGUGAAUUGGCUCUACUCAUCCAUUUAUACCCAUUUAAAAAUAAUUAUAUACUUAAACUCAACUUUUAGUGAGUGUUAAGAAAAUAAAUUUAAAAUUUUUAUGAAUCUAAUAAUAAUAAAACCCCAUUAUUUAUUGUUAAACAACACGCAAAAGAAAAAAAAAAACGUAGAAUUUUGAAUGACUUAUAAAUGAAAAAUGGGUAUAAACGGGUAUCCAUUUGUACCUAUUUAUUUAAAUAAGCAUAAAUGGAUGGAUCUAGUUAUACUUACCCAAUUAUAACCCAUCCAAACCUGCCUGAAUUACACAUUUUAACACCUCUAUUAUUACUAUGUCUAUUUAUUCGCCUGUUUUGCCUCUUUGAGUUUCUUUGUUUGCCCAAUCAAAAUGUUUCGUGUGCUUCAUCAAGUUGUUUUAGUUAAGGAAUUACUUUGAAAGGUACAUCUAACUUUGUCAACAAAAACAGGGUUAGCCCAGUGGCCGAAUGAAAACUUUAGAGUUUUCCUCACUAUUAGGAUUUGUGGUUCAGAUCUUGAGUUGAGAGUUGGAGGUGGGAGGAUACAAAAAAAAAAAAAAAAAAAACAACUUCAUUGCCUAAAAAAUAAUGAUUGGCUGAAAUGGAAAAUAAGACUUUUCGGCAGAGACAAAAUAAUGAGUGAUAUUUUAAAGGAUACUACGGUUUCUUCGCUGAACAAAUAUAAUGGAUAUUAUGACAAUUGACCCUGUUGUAUCUCUUGGUGCAAUAUAAUGAACUACAUGGGAUCUAGUUUUGAUUCUUUUAUGAUAUCACACAAAACAAAUCAAGACAAAGAUAUUGCUAAUAAUUUAGCAAAAGACAUGCAUUAGGGCAAAUACAGGAUUAGAGAGCAAUAAACUUUUUUUGGGGGGUGCUUUUUUAUUUUUAUUUUUAUUUAAAAUUUUCAGCCAAGAUGACCAAUUAAACAUACAUUAAACCUGUAUUUGCACCACCAAACUUCAUAUUCGGAUAUCAUUAAAAAUAAGGGCUUGCCGUACAUGGGAUAACAUAUAUUGGCACAAUUUAGGCAUCCCUAUGGAGUACUAUUAUCCAUGAUCAAGCAGGAACGACUGUAAGGAAUUGGAAUCAAGAGCAGAUCAUUUUUCCGCCUCAUUGUAAUGCCAAAUUUUGCAGUCAUGUCUAAUUCUUCUUGUUUCAUGUCACCAGGGAGCUUCCAAUCAAAAUGGAACAAUAAUUGUGCAAGAGCUAGCUGAAUAACUGGUUGAGAAAAUGCUAUGCCUGGACAAAUCCUUCUUCCAGCACCAAAUGGG
This 5983-nucleotide long non-coding RNA is filed under the name Coffea arabica (coffee). Its description in RNAcentral is "long non-coding RNA (CARA_LNC000061)". Lineage: Eukaryota; Viridiplantae; Streptophyta; Magnoliopsida; Gentianales; Rubiaceae. The record is from RNAcentral.